GUGGCGACCGGCGCACGGGUGAGUAACGCGUAUGCAACCUACCUAUCAGAGGGGAAUAACCCGGCGAAAGUCGGACUAAUACCGCAUAAAACAGGGACACCGCAUGGUGAUAUUUGUUAAAGAAAUUCGCUGAUAGAUGGGCAUGCGUUCCAUUAGGUAGUUGGUGAGGUAACGGCUCACCAAGCCGACGAUGGAUAGGGGAACUGAGAGGUUGGUCCCCCACACUGGUACUGAGACACGGACCAGACUCCUACGGGAGGCAGCAGUGAGGAAUAUUGGUCAAUGGGCGAGAGCCUGAACCAGCCAAGUCGCGUGAAGGAAGAAGGAUCUAUGGUUCGUAAACUUCUUUUGCAGGGGAAUAAAGUGCAGGACGUGUCCUGUUUUGUAUGUACCCUGAGAAUAAGGAUCGGCUAACUCCGUGCCAGCAGCCGCGGUAAUACGGAGGAUCCGAGCGUUAUCCGGAUUUAUUGGGUUUAAAGGGUGCGUAGGUGGUUUGAUAAGUCAGCGGUGAAAGUUUGCAGCUUAACUGUAAAAAUGCCGUUGAAACUGUCGGACUUGAGUGUAAAUGAGGUAGGCGGAAUGCGUGGUGUAGCGGUGAAAUGCUUAGAUAUCACGAAGAACUCCGAUUG
RNAcentral lists this ribosomal RNA (629 nucleotides) under uncultured Bacteroidales bacterium. Its description in RNAcentral is "bacterial SSU rRNA". It matches the Rfam family "Bacterial small subunit ribosomal RNA", at positions 88 to 715 of the family's 1533-position model. The record is from RNAcentral. RNAcentral also lists the same sequence under 1 other name. Lineage: Bacteria; Pseudomonadati; Bacteroidota; Bacteroidia; Bacteroidales.